RNAcentral lists this ribosomal RNA (536 nucleotides) under uncultured bacterium. RNAcentral's name for it is "bacterial SSU rRNA". It matches the Rfam family "Bacterial small subunit ribosomal RNA", at positions 8 to 526 of the family's 1533-position model. The record is from RNAcentral.
AGAGUUUGAUCAUGGCUCAGGACGAACGCUGCCGGCGUGCUUAACACAUGCAAGUCGAACGGGGAAUAGCAAUAAUUCCUAGUGGCGAACGGGUGAGUAACGCGUAGACAACCUGCCUUCUAGACGGGGACAACGUUCCGAAAGGAGCGCUAAUACCGGAUGAGGUGUCUUGGGUGCAUACUGGAGACAAGAAAGGUGGCCUCUAUAUAUAAGCUACCGCUAGAAGAUGGGUCUGCGUCUGAUUAGCUAGUUGGCGGGGUAACGGCCCACCAAGGCGACGAUCAGUAGCCGGUCUGAGAGGAUGAACGGCCACACUGGGACUGAGACACGGCCCAGACUCCUACGGGAGGCAGCAGUGGGGAAUCUUCCGCAAUGGACGAAAGUCUGACGGAGCAACGCCGCGUGAGUGAAGAAGGUUUUCGGAUUGUAAAGCUCUGUCUUCUGGGAAGAAUGUCAUCCUUGAAAAUAUUGAGGGUGAAUGACGGUACUGAGAGGAGGAACCACGGCUAACUCCGUGCCAGCAGCCGCGGUAAUAC